RNAcentral lists this long non-coding RNA (226 nucleotides) under Trifolium pratense (red clover). RNAcentral's name for it is "long non-coding RNA (TPRA_LNC000168)". The record is from RNAcentral. Lineage: Eukaryota; Viridiplantae; Streptophyta; Magnoliopsida; Fabales; Fabaceae.
CCCUCUACAGUCACGAACACACCAUCCCGCACUCGUUUUCCUUGCGCCGUCAUGAAAACCAGCAUCAACAUUACAUUUGUAUUUGUCUCGGGCUGGGGCUUGCCACUAUUGUUGUUGCUGCUGUUGUAUGCCAUGACCGUCGUUAUUGUGCACAGUUUGGACUGAUUGCCACUCAUGCCAUAAACUCAUUGCUUUGAUUCCAAGUUGUUGUCCUUGUUCCUUCACU